Molecule: non-coding RNA, 1717 nt
Organism: Meleagris gallopavo (turkey)
Lineage: Eukaryota; Metazoa; Chordata; Aves; Galliformes; Phasianidae
Source: RefSeq, a predicted model, not a curated record
UUCAGAAAAUCCUUGACUCACUAUGAAAUGUAAAACUCAGAAUAUCUUAUCCAUGACAGCCUUCUUUCACAAUACCCAUUUUUUCAUAUGUUGUGGCUAUAACGAUAGACACUGGAUCCAAAGCACCUUGCAUGGAAAAGGAGGAAGGAGGAGCCAAGGGACUACAGGCCGGUGAGCCUCACCUAUUUGCCUGGGAAUGUCAUGGAACAGAUCUUCCUGGAAGAGUCUUGGGUCAUAUCAACCAUUGGCUACUAGCAAUGUUCAAAGGGUUUUAAGUUGCCUGGGAAGAAUUAACACCAGAAGAUAAACACAUGACUAAGCAGUAUUUUCAGGUGCAUCAAGAAUUUAGAGGCUGUUUUUCCAAUCUCCUUUCCCUGUUUUCCUGCACCACUCAAGGCAGGAGGUAAAAGAGGUUAGGUGGGGGGGAAGGUGUUUUUACUUUGUUUUUUGUUUUCACCGCUUUCAUCUAUUCACAAUAAGCAACAAAUUGUAUUAACCUCCCCACACUGGCUCUGUUUUGCCCAUGACGUUAAUUGGUGAGUGAUCUCUCUGUCUUUAUCUCAACCUAUCAGCUUUUUCUUCAUUAAAUUUUCUCCUCCUUUCCAUCUGAAGAGGAGGGUGAGAGAGCAGCAUGGUGGAGCUGAGCUGCCCAGCCAUAUUAAAAUCCUGUACAUUUAGAGGUUCAUGUGGGAGCAGUGCUUGAAGAGCUACGGCCUAUGGGAAGCCCACAUGGGAUCAGUUCAGGAAAGACAGCAUCUCAUGGAGGAAGGACCCCAUGUUGGAACAGGGACAGAGUGACAGAGUGAUGAUGAAGGAGCAGAAGAGACAAAGCAUUAGGAACUGGCUGCAGCCCCCAUUCCCUGUUCCCCUGCGCUGCUUUUAGUUCUCACUGCUCUUAUUUGUUAUUAGUAGGCAAUAAAUUACAAUUUUCUCACUUGUUCUCAGUAUGUUUGGCCUGUGACAGAGAUUGGCUAAUUAUAUCCUUGUAUUUAUCUUAACCCAUGAUCAUUUGUUUCAUUACAUUUUUCCUCUUGCUUACUUCAGGAGGGGAAAUGAGGGAGCAGCUGUGUGGUACUUAGCUGGCCACCAGUGUGAAACCACCACAGCAUCAUCCUGUACUGGUUGUAUACUAGGCACUCCUUUCACCAGAAUUUUGAAAACCUUGCAUUAGUUUUGAGGAAAAUGGUAUCUGAUACAUAUAGCCACGUCAGCAAACAUAGUGAGUGCACCAUAUUUGGUUAGCAACAGGAAGACUAUAACCAAAUCUGUAUUGGGAUACAGCCAUAGCCUUCUUGGGAUAAUGCCUUUUCAGUUGCACAGGAUAUAGUUCCUUUUGUAACACAUCUUGCCUCUGAUAGCACCACCCUUCUGUUGGCCUUUGAUGUUGACUGCAUACUCAGAUUACACAGCAACUGAAAGUGUCUGAAAUUGAUUUCAAUUAAGAUGCUACAAAAUAGGGUGGAGAAGUGUCUUAAAUUGUUAGCAACAACAUUUAAUGAAACUGUUUUUAUUAGUUAGCUCAACAAUUCAGAGUACUGUAUCCUACAUCUGGUUUCUUAAUGGUCAUUGUUUGAACAACUCAAGCACCUAGAAAGGAUUCAUCCCUGCUACCCAUUCUGCCAGGCUGCUGCAUUCAAUUUUGUAUAAGAGGUACAUCAUCAAGUUUGUCUUCCGUACAGAAAGAGGACCUUCUGACAUUCAGGUGGAAUAGAUAAAA